UGGCUCAGAACGAACGCUGGCGGCAGGCUUAACACAUGCAAGUCGAGCGCCCCGCAAGGGGAGCGGCAGACGGGUGAGUAACGCGUGGGAAUCUACCCUUUUCUACGGAAUAACGCAGGGAAACUUGUGCUAAUACCGUAUGAGCCCUUCGGGGGAAAGAUUUAUCGGGAAAGGAUGAGCCCGCGUUGGAUUAGCUAGUUGGUGGGGUAAAGGCCUACCAAGGCGACGAUCCAUAGCUGGUCUGAGAGGAUGAUCAGCCACAUUGGGACUGAGACACGGCCCAAACUCCUACGGGAGGCAGCAGUGGGGAAUAUUGGACAAUGGGCGCAAGCCUGAUCCAGCCAUGCCGCGUGAGUGAUGAAGGCCCUAGGGUUGUAAAGCUCUUUCACCGGUGAAGAUAAUGACGGUAACCGGAGAAGAAGCCCCGGCUAACUUCGUGCCAGCAGCCGCGGUAAUACGAAGGGGGCUAGCGUUGUUCGGAAUUACUGGGCGUAAAGCGCACGUAGGCGGAUUGUUAAGUGAGGGGUGAAAUCCCAGGGCUCAACCCUGGAACUGCCUUUCAUACUGGCAAUCUAGAGUCCAGAAGAGGUGAGUGGAAAUUCCGAGUGUAGAGGUGAAAUUCGUAGAUAUUCGGAGGAACACCCAGUGGCGAAAGGGCGGGCUCACUGGUCUGGAACUGACGCU
This 684-nucleotide ribosomal RNA is filed under the name Ensifer sp. Its description in RNAcentral is "bacterial SSU rRNA". It matches the Rfam family "Bacterial small subunit ribosomal RNA", at positions 20 to 747 of the family's 1533-position model. The record is from RNAcentral. Lineage: Bacteria; Pseudomonadati; Pseudomonadota; Alphaproteobacteria; Hyphomicrobiales; Rhizobiaceae.